UUGAAAGGGAAACGAUUGAAGUCAGUCGUACCUGUGGGUAAUCAGCCUUUUGGGUGUGAUUNUGUGGAGUGUGAGGAGUUAAACGCCUUCAUGCCUGCAUAUUCGUGCACUUUGGGUGUAUUUACCCGUGUGGUAAGUUAACAUCAAUUUCGGUGGUCAUAAAAUGGCUGGAGGAAUGUAGCUUCGAUCUCGUAUUGAAGUGUUAUAGCCUUCGGUAGAUGUGAUAAUCGGGAUUGAGGAUUGCAACGGAUACCCUUCGGGGCUACCUGUCUGAUCUCUGAUCGUUGCUCUGGUGCCGAAAGCUUGCUUACGGUUAUCAAAGUCGAUGGUCAAUAGGUUAGAACGGGUUAAAUUCGUUAAGGAUGUUGACGUA
RNAcentral lists this ribosomal RNA (373 nucleotides) under uncultured Glomeromycotina. RNAcentral describes it as "LSU rRNA". The record is from RNAcentral. Lineage: Eukaryota; Fungi; Glomeromycota.